UUAAGCAUAUCAAUAAGCGGAGGAAAAGAAACCAACAGGGAUUGCCCCAGUAACGGCGAGUGAAGCGGCAACAGCUCAAAUUUGAAAUCUGGCCCCCGGGUCCGAGUUGUAAUUUGCAGAGGAUGCUUUGGGCGAGGUGACUUCCGAGUUCCCUGGAACGGGACGCCAUAGAGGGUGAGAGCCCCGUCUGGUCGCACACCGAGCCCGUGUAAAGCUCCUUCGACGAGUCGAGUAGUUUGGGAAUGCUGCUCAAAAUGGGAGGUAUAUGUCUUCUAAAGCUAAAUAUUGGCCAGAGACCGAUAGCGCACAAGUAGAGUGAUCGAAAGAUGAAAAGCACUUUGAAAAGAGGGUUAAAAAGUACGUGAAAUUGUUGAAAGGGAAGCGCCUAUGACCAGACUUGCGCCCGGUGAAUCAUCCAGCGUUCUCGCUGGUGCACUUUGCCGGGCACAGGCCAGCAUCAGUUUGGCGCGGGGGACAAAGGCUUCGGGAAUGUGGCUCCUCCGGGAGUGUUAUAGCCCGCUGCGUAAUACCCUGCGCCGGACUGAGGUACGCGCAUCGCAAGGAUGCUGGCGUAAUGGUCAUCAGCGACCCGUCUUGAAACACGGACCAAGGAGUCGUCUUCGUAUGCGAGUGUUCGGGUGUCAAACCCCUACGCGGAAUGAAAGUGAACGCAGGUGAGAGCUUCGGCGCAUCAUCGACCGAUCCUGAUGUUCUCGGAUGGAUUUGAGUAAGAGCAUACGGGGCCGGACCCGAAAGAAGGUGAACUAUGCCUGUAUAGGGUGAAGCCAGAGGAAACUCUGGUGGAGGCUCGCAGCGGUUCUGACGUGCGAAUCGAUCGUCAAAUAUGGGCAUGGGGGCGAAAGACUAAUCGAACCUUCUAGUAGCUGGUUUCCGCCGAAGUUCCCUCAGGA
Molecule: ribosomal RNA, 911 nt
Filed under: Cordyceps cateniannulata
Lineage: Eukaryota; Fungi; Ascomycota; Sordariomycetes; Hypocreales; Cordycipitaceae
Description: partial large subunit ribosomal RNA
Rfam family: Eukaryotic large subunit ribosomal RNA
Source: RNAcentral